Molecule: transfer RNA, 68 nt
Filed under: Squaliobarbus curriculus (barbel chub)
Lineage: Eukaryota; Metazoa; Chordata; Actinopteri; Cypriniformes; Xenocyprididae
Description: tRNA-Cys
Rfam family: tRNA
About the family: Transfer RNA (tRNA) molecules are approximately 80 nucleotides in length.
Source: RNAcentral
AGCCCCGUGGUGAAGAAACACGUUGGAUUGCAAAUCCAGAGACGUAGAUUAAUAGUCUGCCGGGGCUU